This 85-nucleotide transfer RNA is filed under the name Felis catus (domestic cat). It matches the Rfam family "tRNA". Rfam says of the family: Transfer RNA (tRNA) molecules are approximately 80 nucleotides in length. Their secondary structure includes four short double-helical elements and three loops (D, anti-codon, and T loops). The record is from Rfam by way of RNAcentral. Lineage: Eukaryota; Metazoa; Chordata; Mammalia; Carnivora; Felidae.
GCCUGGGUGUCUCAGUCGGUUGAGUAUCCGACUUCAGCUCAGGUCAUGGUCUCACGGUUUGUGGGUUCGAGCCCCACAUCGGGCU